UGUGGUGCUAAACCAGAUCGAGCUACCAAGCAAUAAACAUGCCGUUGAGGAUUACAAAAUAUUGUGCAGUGCCUGGACUCCACAGUGAUGCAACAACAUGUGAGUAACAGUGUUAAUUCUAAUGCCUGAUCUGAUAUUAAUGAUUCAUGUACAGUCAGAUGUUCUUUGUCUGUGUGUCAGUAAAUCAAAUCAAACCGUCCUUUUCCCAAACGUCACCUUGCGUUGUUUCUCUUAUUAGGAUGAAAAUAAUCAGUAAUUUAACGGUGAUUAAAUUAUAUAAAGAACCUCAAAGAAAGCCCCCUUUGUAAUCAUUGGAGCAGCACGCGCUGAAGCGGUCAAUCAAACAGCGCGAGUUUAUCAGUGACUGGCGUGCAAAACUCCUGUUUUAUUCAACGAAUCUUUUAGUUAUAUCGCGUAUGCACUGUUAGUGAAGAUGAAAGCAUUUGUUAGUGUACAGAAAUUGAGUUGCAAUGACGAGAUCACUGCUUUCAUGUACUCAACAUUGUCUGUGAUCGGCUACAAUGUUCAUCUCUGCAACCUUUCAUGCUAUGAUCUAAAUAUAAUGCAACACUUUUCACGAUUAGUUAACCUUAGAGCUGUAAUAGUAAAAACACGCUAAAAGAAAGAGUAAUACUUGGAUAUUUUCAUAUGCAAAGAUGUUAGCCAAUCACAGCAGUGGGCGUUUAAACUGAAGUCUCACAGCAGACAUGCCCCUUAAAAUGGAGCAUUCAAAUCAGAGGCUAAAAUCAGGGUAGGGAUUAUGACAAUUUUGGAUGUAAAAAGCAUACUAACAUUAUAGGUGCACCCCAGGAAACAUUAUAAAACAAUAAACCAAUGCAGUUCAUGACCCCUUUAAAUUAAAAGUUAGAAUUUUGUGGGGUUUUUUAAUGAAAUGUAACCGGUUGACGUAUGGGUUGGGGACUACAACUCCCAAUAGUCUUUGGGACAAUUUUAAGAAUUGCGUCAUUACGUAGUUGGCACGCUAUAAAUAGACGCACGGAAGUACUGCGCGUCCUCGUUUCAUUCAUUCAUUGAACUCGGAAAUAAGCGUGAGCUUGCAUCAGGUCACCUUUAUGUGAUUUUUGAACGUGGGGCAUAAGGCAGUCGUAUGUAUUUGUUUUAUCAAGAAGUCCUUGUGUGUUGAUGGUGAUUGGCCUGGUGAUGCAGCCUUCAGAGUGUUGAAUGAGUGAGAGCGAAUUAGGUUCCUUUUAAAGAAGAACCGUGUGGUUGAUGUAUUCCUUUUUUUUUCUUUAAUCCAGUUCAUUUAAAGGACUAGCACGGCUAUUGUUACUAUUUGAUUUCUUUUAUUUUUGGUGAAUUACCCUCAUUUUUUCUUUGGAUGUUGUGUAUUUAUAUUAUUGUAUGCUUUCAAUUGAUACUGUUUUCUUUUUCUUUUUAGUUUUCCAUCUUACUUCCAUGGCAGCUGCAGGGUCUCCUCCAAGGGUGUGACUGGCACUGGUGAGGUGGUGGGCAUUCUUCUGUGGUUCCUGGUGAUUUAUUUAUCCUUUUGAGUGCCGUGGAUUUUUGUACUGUAUUUGGAGUGUGCAUUGCAAGUAGUGGCUAUAUUUUCCUACACACGUAUAGUUGUGCCCGGAUUGGAGCCCUGUGGUUUGUCAUAAAUUUGUUUUGUUUUUGUUUCUUUCUCCUUGCUGAAUGAUGUGUACUCGUGUUUUAAAUAUCUAAUUGUUUUUAUACAAAACUUGGUAUUUAUUGUGAAUAAAAGCUUGUACAAGCAAUACAUUCUUACUACAGCCUGUGGCCAGUUAUUCACCCACUUGUGGUGGGUUACAGAAAGCUAAAAAGGAUAAACAAUGAAGAUUUAUUUUCACAGCCACCUUUGCUCAUAUUUACCAAGGGUGCCAAUAUU
Megalobrama amblycephala (Wuchang bream) is the source of this 1867-nucleotide long non-coding RNA. RefSeq lists it as uncharacterized. The transcript has 5 exons. The record is from RefSeq and is a predicted model, not a curated record. NCBI's taxonomy places the organism in Eukaryota, Metazoa, Chordata, Actinopteri, Cypriniformes, Xenocyprididae.